AGGCUCUGGCUGUCAACCAGGGCCAGCCCCCUUUUGAGGGCCAGGCUGAAGGUGGAGGGGCCUGCCCAGGCCUGGCUACGACCCCUGCCUCCAGGGGCGUCAAGGUGGAGUUAGACCCGGCCAAAGUGGCUGUGCUGACUACUGUGUACUGCAUGGCAAAGGAGGAUGUGCCCAAUGACCGCUGCUCUGCCCUGCUCGAGCUGCAGAGGUUCAACCUGUGCCAGGCACUGCUGGGCACAGAGCAUGGCGAUUACUACAGUCCCAGGAGGGUGAGGGACAUGCAGGUGGCCAUUGCCAGUGUCUUGCACACAGAGGCCUGCCAGCGCCUGAAGGCAUCCCCAUAUGUGGGGCUGGUGUUGGACGAGACCAGAGACUGGCCGGAGUCACACAGCCUGGCCCUGUUUGCCACUUCAGUGUCCCCCUGUGAUGGCCAGCCCGCCACCACCUUCCUGGGCAGUGUGGAGCUACAGGAGGGCGAGGCCACUGCUGGCCAGCUCUUGGACAUCCUGCAGGCUUUCGGCGUAUCUGCACCCAAGCUGGCCUGGCUCAGCUCAAGCCUCCCCAGUGAGCGCCUGGGGAGUGUGGGCCCACAGCUCCGGGCCACUUGCCCACUGCUGGCAGAGCUGCAUUGUCUCCCUGGCCGGACAGAUCCUGAGCCCCCGGCCUACUUGGGUCAAUAUGAGAGCAUAUUGGAUGCCCUAUUCCGCCUCCAUGGUGGCCCUAGUUCCCACUUGGUCCCUGAGCUCCGGGCAGCACUGGAC
RNAcentral lists this long non-coding RNA (761 nucleotides) under Homo sapiens (human). Its description in RNAcentral is "non-protein coding lnc-DNAJC7-3:1". The record is from RNAcentral. Lineage: Eukaryota; Metazoa; Chordata; Mammalia; Primates; Hominidae.